UACGUAGGGGGCUAGCGUUGUCCGGAAUCAUUGGGCGUAAAGAGCGUGUAGGCGGUCCGGUAAGUCUGCUGUGAAAGUCCAGGGCUCAACCCUGGAAGGCCGGUGGAAACUGUCGGGCUAGAGUCCGGAAGAGGCGAGUGGAAUUCCCGGUGUAGCGGUGAAAUGCGCAGAUAUCGGGAGGAACACCAAUGGCGAAGGCAGCUCGCUGGGACGGUACUGACGCUGAGACGCGAAAGCGUGGGGAGCAAACAGG
RNAcentral lists this ribosomal RNA (253 nucleotides) under uncultured bacterium. RNAcentral's name for it is "partial 16S ribosomal RNA". It matches the Rfam family "Bacterial small subunit ribosomal RNA", at positions 524 to 776 of the family's 1533-position model. The record is from RNAcentral.